This is a non-coding RNA of Agrilus planipennis (emerald ash borer), 65 nucleotides long. Lineage: Eukaryota; Metazoa; Arthropoda; Insecta; Coleoptera; Buprestidae. The record is from the annotation of a RefSeq genome assembly.
AUUUACGUAGUUUAAACAAAACAUUGUGUUUUCAUCACAAAAAUAAACAUAUUGUUUCAUAAAUA